UUCAUUCAGAUUUUUACACAACAGUCUCAUUUAGCUCAAAUGACUUGAAUGUUUCAUAUAUAUUUCAAUCACUACACAACUACACAACAACACAAUCAGAUCAGACAGAAUGUUCUCAUGUAAGCAGUCGGCUGUGUCAGCAGCAUUCUCGCCUGCUUUUCCUUCACAUACAAGAAGUGAAACCUUCAGAAACAGAAAGCCAAUCCCUUUCACAAGCACUCCUGGCUUCUCUUUAUCGAUUUAUUAUAUGUCCUUCUGAAUCAUUAAAGUCAAAGUACACAACAGAGGAGAAACACACAACAGAAUAACACAACUGACAGUAAACUGGGUUAAAGUGUGAUUUUAAUGAAUGAACAGAAUGAUCCAUAUCUGAAUAAAACAGAUAUAGUACUGUAGAGAUUUUUCACCAUUAUACCACGGGUCUGUUGAAUGCUGUAUUCUGAUUGGCUGAGAAAUGUUUCGUGGGUAUGCAUUUAUUUCUGAUAACUGCACACCUAACUUGUCAAAUGUCUUAAAAAUAGGCACCAGAGCAAGGUUUGUGGUAACCGUGGUAUAAGAGGAAAAAUUUACUCCGGUCCUUUAAGUUAUUUGAAAAUAAUGCAUACCCGUGACCCGCGGUGUAACUUGGGUGUGCUUUAUUUUCUUAUAAUUCAAUGGACCGUCAGGGCUCCAGACUAACUUUUAUCACUAGGAGCACAGUGGCCCCCAACUGAAAAUUUUAGGGGCGCAAACAGAAAAUUUAGGGGCACACACCGUAAAUCAACAUGCUAACCAAAUAUUCACAUUUCUACUAAUUUCCACUGUAUUACUAAUAAAUACUUUAAUGAUAGAUGCAGAAAGUACAAUGUGCUGUUUCAAAUUCAUUGUCACAUUUUAUUGUGCACUUUUGGAAAAAAGGUCAAAUUUACUGGUUGCACAUGUGCGACUGGAUGUAAAAUUCAGUGGCACACUCUCAAAUUUUAGGGGCAAAAUGCCACCAUUUGGGGGCAGUCUGGAGCCCUGACCGUCGUCAAUUAUUCCUUUCUUAAACAUCCAUCAUCUCAAAUGUGUUUCAGUCUCACAUCAUCAACAAUGACAGACAUCAAUUUCAUUCCUGUGACUUUUAACCUUUAACAAGUGACACAGGUUAUUUAAGGGACUGAACAAGAGGUCACACCAGACCUGUUCAACAUCAUCCAGCUCAGCUGUUCAAGUAAACCUAAAGUUUAGUUUAUCAUCAGAGUCCUAAGCUGAACUGCACAACAGUUUUUACUCCAUCUGAUCGGAGUACAGAAAUGCUAGAUGAACCCUUGUGAGGUCUGAACCUGUAAACGCAUAAAGAUUCUGUCUCUCAUCAGCAGAACUCAGGAAAGCCGCCUGAAAGCGAUGAUGAUGAGUAAGAUGGCCAGACAGCUGAUGAUUGACAGGACGACAGCCAUGAUGAUAAGGGCAGUGUGGGUCGUCUGCGAACCGCUGUCGUCCGGCACGCCUGACGUAUGAAGGAGCUGAAUACCACAACGCUCA
Paramisgurnus dabryanus is the source of this 1503-nucleotide long non-coding RNA. RefSeq lists it as uncharacterized. Lineage: Eukaryota; Metazoa; Chordata; Actinopteri; Cypriniformes; Cobitidae. The record is from RefSeq and is a predicted model, not a curated record.